Molecule: transfer RNA, 72 nt
Filed under: Cordylochernes scorpioides
Lineage: Eukaryota; Metazoa; Arthropoda; Arachnida; Pseudoscorpiones; Chernetidae
Description: tRNA-Thr
Source: RNAcentral
GUCCAGGGAUGGGAUCAAACCCACAGUGUUCCGCUUACCGGGCAGAAGCCAUGUUCAUUAGGCUACCCUGGA